UAAGCUUCUCGGUCUUUUGGCUAAGAUUAAAGUGUAGUAUCUGUUCUUAUCACCUUAAUACCUGAUACGGCCCCUAUUUAGGGCCAUCGAUAUUAAACUGGUUUUUAGAACGAGGCGAAGUGUUAGGGGCUUGCUCCGCCUUUGCCCCAAUUAAAAACGGCGGUGCAUCAGCAUGGCCGCAGCUAUGGGCUGAAACGAU
This is a small nuclear RNA of Octopus sinensis (East Asian common octopus), 199 nucleotides long. RefSeq annotates it as U2 spliceosomal RNA. Lineage: Eukaryota; Metazoa; Mollusca; Cephalopoda; Octopoda; Octopodidae. The transcript has a single exon. The record is from RefSeq and is a predicted model, not a curated record.